CCUACGGGUGGCUGCAGUGAGGAAUAUUGGUCAAUGGCCGAGAGGCUGAACCAGCCAAGUCGCGUGAAGGAUGACGGCCCUACGGGUUGUAAACUUCUUUUGUCAAGGAACAAAGUGAGCCACGUGUGGCUUUUUGUGUGUACUUUAAGAAAAAGCAUCGGCUAACUCCGUGCCAGCAGCCGCGGUAAUACGGGGGAUGCGAGCGUUAUCCGGAUUUAUUGGGUUUAAAGGGUGCGCAGGAGGGGUGUUACGUCAGUGGGAAAAUUGCGGGGCUCAACCCCGUAUUGCCAUUGAAACUGGGUGCCUUGAGUGCGCGAGAGGUAUGCGGAAUGCGUGGUGUAGCGGUGAAAUGCAUAGAUAUCACGCAGAACUCCGAUUGCGAAGGCAGCAUAC
Molecule: ribosomal RNA, 393 nt
Filed under: uncultured bacterium
Lineage: Bacteria
Description: partial 16S ribosomal RNA
Rfam family: Bacterial small subunit ribosomal RNA
Source: RNAcentral